AUUGAACGCUGGCGGCAUGCCUUACACAUGCAAGUCGAACGGCAGCACGGGAGCAAUCCUGGUGGCGAGUGGCGAACGGGUGAGUAAUAUAUCGGAACGUGCCCGGUCGUGGGGGAUAACGUAGCGAAAGCUACGCUAAUACCGCAUACGAUCUACGGAUGAAAGCGGGGGAUCGCAAGACCUCGCGCGAUUGGAGCGGCCGAUAUCAGAUUAGGUAGUUGGUGAGGUAAAGGCUCACCAAGCCGACGAUCUGUAGCUGGUCUGAGAGGACGACCAGCCACACUGGGACUGAGACACGGCCCAGACUCCUACGGAGGCAGCAGUGGGGAAUUUUGGACAAUGGGCGCAAGCCUGAUCCAGCAAUGCCGCGUGCAGGAUGAAGGCC
RNAcentral lists this ribosomal RNA (385 nucleotides) under uncultured bacterium. RNAcentral describes it as "bacterial SSU rRNA". It matches the Rfam family "Bacterial small subunit ribosomal RNA", at positions 29 to 416 of the family's 1533-position model. The record is from RNAcentral.